This 1723-nucleotide long non-coding RNA is filed under the name Homo sapiens (human). RNAcentral describes it as "HSALNT0355995". Lineage: Eukaryota; Metazoa; Chordata; Mammalia; Primates; Hominidae. The record is from RNAcentral.
CUCCAUCCCGCCCAUCCUGCAUUUGGUGCAAAUAAAGAACGCAGGAGCCUUGUCUCCUACUGGGCUGUCAGUGAGGAAAAGGAGGAAAGACAGGUUAGCUGGGGAUGAUGACGGAUCUGAAGCAAAGCCAUUCAGUGAGGCUGAAUGAUGGACCCUUCAUGCCAGUGCUGGGAUUUGGCACUUAUGCUCCUGAUCAUGACACAAUUGGAAAAACUGGUUAUUUUACCAAGGCUUUGACUGGAAUGGUGUGCUUUCCUUUAAGGAAUCAAACUUAACUUAUGAAGCCAAUAAAGCCCUUGGAAAACUAACCUCAUAUUUUGUCUACAGAGUCCCUGUACAGGGUUUCUGAUCCAUGGUAAGUAAAGAAUGUCACUUUCUAGCAGGCCAGGAACCCUAAGUUAUCUUGGGACCUCAAAGAGAAGAGAAAUUCACCAACUCAUAGGUAUUUAAUGGUACAAAUUCAUAAAUGGGGUUGGCUUUAAAAAGGCCUUAUCUCAGAUUCCUUCUAUGGAACAAAGUUCCAUCAAAGCUAAUUUAAAAGGCCUAUGUAAUAAAUAAUUAUUCUUGCUGCACUGUAUACAAAUAAUUAAGCCAAGUAUAAUAAAGCAGACCAAUCCUACCAUAAUCUGUCUUUUAAUAAAAAUGGGAAACUGAAGAGAGAAAAUUAUGUUUCAAAAACUAUAGCACACCUGUUGUUAAAUGGUAGUGUUGUGUAAUGUUUUACACUUUUUAUUAUUUUCUACUGUUUAAAUUCUAAUUUUUCUUGCUACAAGUUUCUAAAAUAAGCUAUGCUUUCCUAAAGUCCUGUAAACCGAAAACCAGAUGUUUCAGCAGGCACUGCCUCUGAGUCCCCCGACCAUCACAGGAGGAAAUCUCUUCACUGCUGGUGCCAACAACUAAUAACUAAGGGUGUCCAGAAUCCUUUGCCCCCAUGUCUAGUGAGUCCAUGGAACCCAGGGUAAUUAAGACGGUACCUGUUACAGGAAUCAACUCCUAAAUACAUCACACUCGAGUCAAAACCUGGAAAGCUAAGGAAGCAACCCCUGACAGCCCAAAAAUGUCCUAAAUAUCAUUGUCAACAAAUAAGAAAUCUUAAGCUGAAAAUGAUAAAAAACUCCCAAAAGCCAGGCUGCCGAGGCCACCAAAGUGGCUAUUGACGUAGGCUUCCGCCAUAUUGAUUCAGCAUACUUAUACCAAAAUGAGGAGGAGGUUGGACAGGCCAUUUGGGAGAAGAUCGCUGAUGGUACCGUCAAGAGAGAGGAAAUAUUCUACACCAUCAAGCUUUGGGCUACUUUCUUUCGGGCAGAAUUGGUUCACCCGGCCCUAGAAAGGUCACUGAAGAAACUUGGACCGGACUAUGUAGAUCUCUUCAUUAUUCAUGUACCAUUUGCUAUGAAGGGUUCUUCCUGAGAGAGGCAGAUUUGAGUGAGGUGCAUAGGAUUGCCAAAACUUUCCCUGGGAAAGAAUUACUGCCAAAGGAUGCCAGUGGAGAGAUUAUUUUAGAAACUGUGGAGCUUUGUGACACUUGGGAGAACAGAGGUAGCAGAAAACCCUCUACUAACAGAAAACCCAAGAGUCUCCUUUGCUUAUGACUCUGGUAUAAUUUGUUAAGGAACUAUUGCAUAUCUCAAGCCAGAUAGGUAGUAUUGAAAUAAGUGGGAGACAACAAAUAUGUCUACUUGCUGUUAUGAGUAUGCUUGUAAUAGAAUCAAGGAGACAAACA